UGGGGAAUAUUGGACAAUGGGCGCAAGCCUGAUCCAGCCAUGCCGCGUGAGUGAUGAAGGCCCUAGGGUUGUAAAGCUCUUUCACCGGUGAAGAUAAUGACGGUAACCGGAGAAGAAGCCCCGGCUAACUUCGUGCCAGCAGCCGCGGUAAUACGAAGGGGGCUAGCGUUGUUCGGAUUUACUGGGCGUAAAGCGCACGUAGGCGGACUAUUAAGUCAGGGGUGAAAUCCCGGGGCUCAACCCCGGAACUGCCUUUGAUACUGGUAGUCUUGAGUUCGAGAGAGGUGAGUGGAAUUCCGAGUGUAGAGGUGAAAUUCGUAGAUAUUCGGAGGAACACCAGUGGCGAAGGCGGCUCACUGGCUCGAUACUGACGCUGAGGUGCGAAAGCGUGGGGAGCAACCAGG
This 404-nucleotide ribosomal RNA is filed under the name Actinomycetes bacterium. Its description in RNAcentral is "Actinobacteria bacterium partial 16S ribosomal RNA". It matches the Rfam family "Bacterial small subunit ribosomal RNA", at positions 355 to 776 of the family's 1533-position model. The record is from RNAcentral. Lineage: Bacteria; Bacillati; Actinomycetota; Actinomycetes.